RNA transcript from Humulus lupulus (European hop), 2281 nucleotides. It is a transcript of the gene named casein kinase 1-like protein 3, with no coding region annotated. The record is from RefSeq and is a predicted model, not a curated record. NCBI's taxonomy places the organism in Eukaryota, Viridiplantae, Streptophyta, Magnoliopsida, Rosales, Cannabaceae. The transcript has 16 exons.
UAUCAAGUGUACCGGUUUGGUUACUAUGCUCGUUCCUCACGCAAACUCGAUUUUCGUUUUCUUCUUCUUGUAAUUAGGGUUUUCGAGAGAUCAGCGUUCGAAGAAAAAAAAUUGUAAUUUCCAUCAAUCCCGAAUCAAGAGCCCUCUUUUAUCAAUAGAUUCAUUCCCAAUUUCGUCCUCUUGCCUCGGCAGAUCCAGUCUCAAAAAAUUAUUAUUCAUCUUCGGUAUGGAGAGGAAAGUUGGACAAAAGUAUAAGUUGGGUCGCAAAAUUGGCAGCGGUUCCUUCGGUGAAAUAUUUAUUGCAACCCAUGUCGACACUAACGAGAUCGUCGCGAUCAAGAUUGAGAAUGGCAAAACAAAACAUCCACAACUUCUCUAUGAGGCCAAGGUGUAUAGAAUUCUUCAGGGUGGAAGUGGUAUCGCAAAUACUAAAUGGUCCGGCGUAGACGGUGAUGACAAUAUCCUUGUCCUUGAUGUUUUAGGACCAAGUCUUGAAGACCUCCUUGUGUACUGUGGGAGAAGCUUUUCACUUAAAACGAUCUUGAUGUUGGCUGAUCAAAUGAUCACUAGAAUAGAGUAUGUGCAUUCCAAAGGGUUCUUGCAUAGAGACAUCAAACCAGAUAACUUCCUAAUGGGUCUUGGCAGGAAAGCAAAUCAGGUUUACAUUAUAGAUUUUGGUCUUGCAAAAAGAUAUCGGGAUCCUGCCUCAAACAGACACAUUCCUUACAGAGAGAACAAAAACCUAACAGGAACUGCACGUUAUGCAAGUUGCAAUACUCAUUUGGGAAUUGAGCAAAGUCGCCGGGAUGAUUUGGAGUCUCUUGGUUAUGUUCUUCUGUACUUCUUAAGAGGAAGCCUUCCUUGGCAAGGUCUAAAAGCUGCCACAAAAAAGCAAAAGUAUGACAAGAUACGUGAGAAGAAGGUCUCAACACCCAUUGAGGUUCUAUGCAAGUCACAUCCUGUGGAGUUCGCAUCAUACUUCCAUUAUUGCCAUUCCUUAACUUUUGAUCAACGCCCUGAUUAUGGGUUCUUGAAGCGCCUGUUUCGCGAUUUAUUUACUCGGGAAGGAUUUGAAUUUGAUUAUGUAUUUGACUGGACAAUUAUGAAGUACCAGCAGUCACAACAAGCAAAAGCGCAGCCCCAAUUAUCUCCAGUUGGUGUAGGUAGCAGUCGAGCACAGCAGAUGGGAGUAAGUAAGCUUAAAGAACCUAGAAGCUCAAGUAACCUUGCAAACCCAGAUGUUCAUACGCAUUUCAGAUCUCCAACAGCAACCCAAAUCUCAGGUGCUGAAAAGUCAAUCGCUAAAAAUGUUGUGAGCAAUGUGCCAGUUGCUUCCACUUCAUUUGGUAGCAGAAGAAACCUUCCCAAUGCAGAAGGGCAAUCUGAAAAUGCAAAAAAGAGAGAAGUUUCUUCAAGCAGCUGGUUCCCAACAUUAAACAGAAUUUCUUCCGCAAAGUAAUAGUGCUUUUCCAACUACCAGGUGUGAAGUGGAGUGCUCAUCAGUUCGAUUGCUCAUUUCUCCAACAGAAGACAAGACGCCUACGGUGGAUGGUGCUGGGCCAAGUAAGGACUUAACUUGGAUGUUGCUUAGACAUGACCUGUCAACCCCGGAGGUUUUUUUUCGUGAGCAUAUGUAAAAACCUAAUUUCAUGUGUUCAUGAUGUGUAAACGUCUUCCCCCGAACAUUCUGUUGCCAGUAAUAUGAUAAAAAGAGUUUUUCUUUGCUGUUAAUGGGUUGUUUUGACCAUGUAUUUCAUUCAAUUCAGGAGUGAGUUGCUUUCUUCUGUUCUUAUUGCUGUAUCUUAUUUGGAUCAAACAAAGCCUUGGAUGUUCACCUGGAUCAGUUUGAACCCUAGGUACAUACACCCUGGUACUUCUCAGAAAACAGGAAAAGUAAACCUUGUGUUUCAGAUAUUGAUAUGAGAGAGAAGGGGGAAGGGUUUACAGGAUGAAUGGGAGACAUUCUAUGGAAUAUUGAGCCAAAUGAAGUGUAUCUCUCUAUCUUCUGUUAAAUUAUCUAUUUUCCAUUGUAGGGUUUGAUGCAAGUAAGUAGUAUUGGAGAUUGGAGCAAGGUUUUCUGGGAAAGGUUUAAUCUUUUUUCAGAAGGGAAGAAAAGAAUGCAGUGCAUAUAUAAUUUUCCCAAAAGAAAAAAAACAAAAUUGCAGGAGCUGACAUUUUGACUGGCACAGUAGAUAAGAAUCUCAUUGAUGUUUGGCAAGCUUUAACAGAAUGAGACUGACUGAGUAGUACUACUUGUACCACCUGUCUACUUUCUUUUGUA